This 682-nucleotide ribosomal RNA is filed under the name uncultured bacterium. Its description in RNAcentral is "bacterial SSU rRNA". It matches the Rfam family "Bacterial small subunit ribosomal RNA", at positions 1 to 721 of the family's 1533-position model. The record is from RNAcentral.
UUCACUAGUGAUUAGAGUUUGAUCCUGGCUCAGAGCGAACGCUGCGCGGCAGGCUUAACACAUGCAAGUCGAGCGGGCACUUCGGUGUCAGCGGCGGACGGGUGAGUAACGCGUGGGAACGUGCCUUCUGGUUCGGAAUAACUCAGGGAAACUUGAGCUAAUACCGGAUACGCCCUUAUGGGGAAAGGUUUACUGCCGGAAGAUCGGCCCGCGUCUGAUUAGCUAGUUGGUGGGGUAACGGCCUACCAAGGCGACGAUCAGUAGCUGGUCUGAGAGGAUGAUCAGCCACACUGGGACUGAGACACGGCCCAGACUCCUACGGGAGGCAGCAGUGGGGAAUAUUGGACAAUGGGGGCAACCCUGAUCCAGCCAUGCCGCGUGAGUGAUGAAGGCCUUAGGGUUGUAAAGCUCUUUUAUCCGGGACGAUAAUGACGGUACCGGAGGAAUAAGCCCCGGCUAACUUCGUGCCAGCAGCCGCGGUAAUACGAAGGGGGCUAGCGUUGCUCGGAAUCACUGGGCGUAAAGGGCGCGUAGGCGGUCUUUUAAGUCGGGGGUGAAAGCCUGUGGCUCAACCACAGAAUUGCCUUCGAUACUGGGAGACUUGAGUUCGGAAGAGGUUGGUGGAACUGCGAGUGUAGAGGUGAAAUUCGUAGAUAUUCGCAAGAACANCCGGUGGCGAAGG